GAUGAAGAACGCAGCGAAAUGCGAUACUUGGUGUGAAUUGCAGAAUCCCGUGAACCAUCGAGUCUUUGAACGCAAGUUGCGCCCGAAGCCAUUAGGCCGAGGGCACGCCUGCCUGGGCGUCACACGUCGUUGCCCCCCCAUCUACUCCUUCGGGAUUGCGGGGGGCGGAUGAUGGCCUCCCGUGCGCCUCGUCGCGCGGUUGGCAUAAAUGCCAAGUCCUCGGCGACGCACGCCACGACAAUCGGUGGUUGCGAAACCUCGGGUGCCCGUCGUGUGCGGUCGUCGCGCAUCGAGGGCUCGAAAAAAUUGCCGGGCUCCGGCUCGGCUUUCAACGCGACCCCAGGUCAGGCGGGGUUACCCGCUGAAUUUAAGCAUAUCAAUAAGCGGAGGA
Molecule: unclassified non-coding RNA, 391 nt
Filed under: soil metagenome
Description: partial contains 5.8S ribosomal RNA, internal transcribed spacer 2, and large subunit ribosomal RNA
Rfam family: 5.8S ribosomal RNA (bases 1-122)
Source: RNAcentral